GAGACUACUAUAACACAGAGAUUGGUCACUCUCUGUACUGGCCAGUCAAAUCGUAUUUUCACGAUGUCCACGGAUGCGCGCGCAUUCUGACUGAUUAGACAAGAAGGACGAUCAGCCAUUGUUUACAAGCGUGGUGCAAAAUAAUAACAUAUGUGGCUUAUUAAGACGUUUUUAUAUCAAAAUGCCUCUCCGAAAGAAAUCGCGUUUGGGACGACCGAAAAAGAACAGCCAUCAGAAAAAAGAACCAAAGCAUAAAAUUGAAUACCAAAGAGGAAAAGAUGUAGAAAUUAACAAAUGGAGGUAAAAAGAGAGUAAUCCUCGACAAUGAACAGCUGUUGGUACCAGUAUGGAGGAGACAUCUGUUCCAGUUUCAAUCCACACUGAAGAUGGAAAGAGAAUGAAAAAUAUGAACGCUUAAAUUUGAUUGUCAUGCUGUUUCUUUUUCUAGCACCAGUGAAAGGCACAGAGCAACUGAUUGCACAAGAAAUUGAGAUAUUUGCAGUGAAUGAGACACACAAUAAAGAUGAAGAAUCUUGCCAUCUCCCUUUCACUGUAUGCAAUUUAUUACAAGUUAUCAUCGCUGAUACAUGUAUAUAUCCUUAGCUGUACAGAUACCGAAAUUUGCAUAACCCAGAUCA
Molecule: long non-coding RNA, 638 nt
Organism: Mytilus trossulus (common blue mussel)
Lineage: Eukaryota; Metazoa; Mollusca; Bivalvia; Mytilida; Mytilidae
Exons: 3
Source: RefSeq, a predicted model, not a curated record